Molecule: long non-coding RNA, 1365 nt
Filed under: Dermacentor andersoni
Lineage: Eukaryota; Metazoa; Arthropoda; Arachnida; Ixodida; Ixodidae
Description: uncharacterized LOC126546150
Source: RNAcentral
AACGAACUCAAGGACGAUGCAGACUACAACGAGAAAAUCCUGGAUGCGAUCUCGGGUGCCCUGUUUGUCUUGGAGCAACGCUCACAAUCCUCCGACAGUCCAGGAACCUUGCAGCAGCCAUUCAGAGUAGCAGCAGGCAGGCUAUUGCGUCGCAUGGCCAGGCCAGUGCCACCUGCUCCCUUGACAGCCAAAAGCAGCAAUAAGAUUGGUUGCUGCACUGCCUGACCACACUUGUCAAGCCGACUGUGCAAGCCAAAGUUCACUGUUCAUUAGCCAAGUGCUGGGUGGAAUCCAACCUGCAUCACUGCCUUGGUUCUGCACAGUGGCCACAUUGCUCUGCCAUGCAAAAUGCCUUGCUCGGAGAAUGCGCUCACCACCGAAGAGGAACCUGAAUGUAAGCGUCAAUGCGCUGAAGCUGCUCACUGACGCUAUGCGGAUAAGACGACUGAAGCCCGCUCUACCAGCCUACAGCAAAUGCAGGAUGCUCAGUGUGAACGUCGAGCAACUGACACAGACAUGGAAAGGGCUGCCCAUUUGGAGAAACCGAAAGCUGUCGACCAUCAACACUGUACUGCCAAAAUGGUUGAGCAUCGGAGUGUCCAGGCUGUCCAAGCUGCUAUUCGUAUACUUGGAUUAUCAUCAUAGAUGAGUUCUGCCCGAAUUUUUUUCACUUGUGCUUUUCUGUCAUUGGUAAGGCUCAUAUACCAAAGGAAAUCCUAUGUGCAAUUUUGUGUUAAAUGAAUUCUAACGGGUUAAGCACCAGGUUAUUAGUACUAACAUAUCCAGAACUCAAGGCAUACAGAGUGUACUUACCUGAUGAGCCCUAAAUGAAACAUGCAUGCUGAAGUUGUCCGCUUAAUGCGGGAAUUGAUGCGAAGCAAUGGGUGACGUGACCUGUCACAUGUGGCAUGUACUACAGUACACGAGCAGCAACCGACAACCUGACUACACUGUCCAGAACUAGUAAGUAAGUUCUAUUUCCCUUUUAAGUUCCUAUUCCAUUUUAGAAUAGGGCAGGCGCUCGAAGCACCGCAGGAAAAAGAGUCAUUGGUUGUGGUUCUAUAGUUGUGGCUUCAUAGUUGUGGGGUACGGUAGUACACUCACGUUCACCGAUUCACUGCCUAACCCUUUCCACAUCUUUGCUCAGAGACACAGUUAGCUCCACAUUUGAGAAUCUGGAAACGCAAGAAUGUGUUCACCUCUGAGCCAACCGAAUUUUUUUUUUUUUGUUCGCCAGUUGGCAUCACAUUAAUAUAAACUCUGUACUGGCAAAGUAGCAGCUUUCGCUUUCGUUUCCCUAGAAAUGCAAAAACAUCAAUUCAAGUGGCUUAUCACUGAAUCAGCAGGAAAUGUUAAAAAUCAGCA